GACGAACGCUGGCGGCGUGCUUAACACAUGCAAGUCGAACGGAAAGGCCCCCACUUUUUUGGUGGGGGUGCUCGAGUGGCGAACGGGUGAGUAACACGUGGGUGAUCUGCCCUGUACUUCGGGAUAAGCUUGGGAAACUGGGUCUAAUACCGGAUAGGACCAUGGUUUAGUGUCUCAUGGUGGAAAAAUUAUUGUUUUGGUGCAGGAUGAGCUCGCGGCCUAUCAGCUUGUUGGUGGGGUAAUGGCCUACCAAGGCGUCGACGGGUAGCCGGCCUGAGAGGGUGGACGGCCACAUUGGGACUGAGAUACGGCCCAGACGACGACGGGAGGAAGCAGUGGGGAAGAUUGCACAAUGGGCGCAAGCCUGAUGCAGCGACGCCGCGUGGGGGAUGAAGGCCUUAGGGUUGUAAACUCCUUUAGUUAGGGACGAAGCAGCACCUUUUUUGGGUGUGGUGACGGUACCUUUGUUAAGAAGCACCGGCUAACUACGUG
Molecule: ribosomal RNA, 492 nt
Filed under: uncultured bacterium
Lineage: Bacteria
Description: partial 16S ribosomal RNA
Rfam family: Bacterial small subunit ribosomal RNA
Source: RNAcentral